Molecule: ribosomal RNA, 483 nt
Filed under: uncultured bacterium
Lineage: Bacteria
Description: partial 16S ribosomal RNA
Rfam family: Bacterial small subunit ribosomal RNA
Source: RNAcentral
AUUGAACGCUGGCGGAAUGCUUUACACAUGCAAGUCGAGCGGCAGCGCGGCCUUCGGGCUGGCGGCGAGCGGCGAACGGGUGAGUAAUGCAUCGGAACAUGCCCAGUCGUGGGGGAUAACACUUCGAAAGAAGUGCUAAUACCGCAUACGUCCUGAGGGGGAAAGCGGGGGAUCGCAAGACCUCGCGCGAUUGGAGUGGCCGAUGUCAGAUUAGCUAGUUGGUGGGGUAAAGGCCUACCAAGGCGACGAUCUGUAGCUGGUCUGAGAGGAUGAUCAGCCACACUGGGACUGAGACACGGCCCAGACUCCUACGGGAGGCAGCAGUGGGGAAUUUUGGACAAUGGGGGCAACCCUGAUCCAGCCAUUCCGCGGGAGUGAAGAAGGCCUUCGGGUUGUAAAGCUCUUUCGGCAGGAACGAAACGGUGGGCUCUAACAUAGUCCGCUAAUGACGGUACCUGAAGAAGAAGCACCGGCUAACUACGU